Amphiprion ocellaris (clown anemonefish) is the source of this 1046-nucleotide long non-coding RNA. The record is from Ensembl. Lineage: Eukaryota; Metazoa; Chordata; Actinopteri; Pomacentridae.
CCAGGAGGUGUUGGAAGAGGUUUAAUGGAAGCUAUUUACUGGCACCGCACCGGCGAGCAACAGGAGGGAGACUCAGCCGCUGCAUUGUUGGAGACGUUCGAGGACGAAUCCCUUUCCACAUGCGAAGCCUACUCCACCUCCGUCGCGGAGCCCCCGGCUGCCCUGUCUCCUCUCCACCACCAGCAGCAGCUCCUCUCCAGCACCAGCUCGGACACCGACACCAGCACGUCACAGCAACGUCUUAUCACCGGCAAGAGGAAAAGGGGCAACAGAAAAUUGGACCUUCCUAGCGUACUUGUGGAGAUGCAGGCUGAGGAGGAGUGGAGUCAUGCCCAGCAUGAUGAGAACAUCUGGUUGCUCCUCAGCGAGGCAAGAGAGAAUGAAGCUGCCUUGCAGCGGGAGGAGAUGGCCCAGAAUACUGCCUUCAACCAGUCAUUCCUGGGUGUGCUGGGGUAGCUGGGGUAGCUGGGUAGGCAGUGGGCAGCCGGCGAGUGUGAGCGAGUCCACCUCCCAUAGACUUGAGAUUUACAAAUGCUGGUCAUAUAAUUAGAAUAUCAUGAAAAAGCUCGUCUUUUGGACAACUGUCACGUCAGCAGUCUUCCCCAUGAUUGUGUAGCCUACAGAACUAGACUGAGAGACCAUUUAAAGGCCUUUGCAGGUGUUGUGAGUUAAUUAGCUGAUUAGAGGUGUCUUCAAUAUUGAACCUUUCUACAAUAUUCUAAUUUUCAGAGAUACCAAAUUUGAGAUUUUUGUUAGUAUUCAGGUAUAAUCAAAGUUAAGAGAAAUAAACAUUUGAAAUAUAUCGGUCUCUGUGUAAUGAAUGAGUAUAAUAUACAAGUUUCACUUUUUCAAUGGAAUUACUGAAAUAAUGAACAACUUUUUUCAUGAUAUUCUAAUUAUAUGACCAGCACCUGUAGUUGUAUAUAGUUUUACUUUUAGCCCUCCACUGUAGGACAGGCCCACCACAGUUUGUACUUUGCACAUUGUAAAUAGUUUUGAUUUUGCUGCUGACUAAUAAACUAUUUUGUGACUUAUGUGAUUGCAUC